UACGUAGGGUGCGAGCGUUAAUCGGAAUUACUGGGCGUAAAGCGUGCGCAGGCGGUUUUGUAAGCCAGAUGUGAAAUCCCCGGGCUUAACCUGGGAAUGGCAUUUGGGACUGCAAGGCUCGAGUGCGGCAGAGGGGACUGGAAUUCCUGGUGUAGCAGUGAAAUGCGUAGAUAUCAGGAGGAACACCGAUGGCGAAGGCAGGUCUUUGGGCUGACACUGACGCUCAUGCACGAAAGCGUGGGGAGCAAACAGG
Molecule: ribosomal RNA, 253 nt
Filed under: uncultured bacterium
Lineage: Bacteria
Description: partial 16S ribosomal RNA
Rfam family: Bacterial small subunit ribosomal RNA
Source: RNAcentral